RNAcentral lists this ribosomal RNA (198 nucleotides) under uncultured bacterium. Its description in RNAcentral is "partial 16S ribosomal RNA". It matches the Rfam family "Bacterial small subunit ribosomal RNA", at positions 328 to 539 of the family's 1533-position model. The record is from RNAcentral.
ACGCUCGACACCUACGGGAGGCAGCAGUGGGGAAUAUUGCACAAUGGGGGAAACCCUGAUGCAGCGACGCCGCGUGAGUGAAGAAGUAUUUCGGUAUGUAAAGCUCUAUCAGCAGGGAAGAAAAUGACGGUACCUGACUAAGAAGCCCCGGCUAACUACGUGCCGGCAGCCGCGGUAAUCUGAGCGGGCUGGCAAGGC